GACGAACGCUGGCGGCGUGCUUAACACAUGCAAGUCGAACGGAAAGGCCCUGCUUUUGUGGGGUGCUCGAGUGGCGAACGGGUGAGUAACACGUGAGUAACCUGCCCUUGACUGUGGGAUAACUUCAGGAAACUGGGGCUAAUACCGGAUAGGAGCUCCUGCUGCAUGGUGGGGGUUGGAAAGUUUCGGCGGUUGGGGAUGGACUCGCGGCUUAUCAGCUUGUUGGUGGGGUAGUGGCUUACCAAGGCUUUGACGGGUAGCCGGCCUGAGAGGGUGACCGGCCACAUUGGGACUGAGAGACGGCCCAGACUCCUACGGGAGGCAGCAGUGGGGAAUAUUGCACAAUGGGCGGACGCCUGAUGCAGCAACGCCGCGUGCGGGAUGACGGCCUUCGGGUUGUAAACCGCUUUCGCCUGUGACGAAGAGUGAGUGACGGUAAUGGGUAAAGAAGCACCGGCUAACUACGUG
This 468-nucleotide ribosomal RNA is filed under the name uncultured bacterium. RNAcentral describes it as "partial 16S ribosomal RNA". It matches the Rfam family "Bacterial small subunit ribosomal RNA", at positions 28 to 507 of the family's 1533-position model. The record is from RNAcentral.